CUCGCCUUUAUGCUUAGCAAAGGGUUAUCAUUAUGGGAUUGUGAUUUAUUUCCUCUCUCCUUUUGAUGUCCUUUGUUGUUCCGCUCCUUCAGACAUGCUUCCACUAUAUUAAAAAGACCAACUUGAAUGCAUGAAUUUGUACUUGAUUGUUUGGUUGUGACCUGGCACCUAGUUCCACAGAUGCUUUAAAGUUGAAGUAUCAGAGUUUAGGUUUUCUAUGAAUGAUUUUGAUGCUUUGGUGUUAAAGUUUCAUAUAUGAGAUGUUUUUGUUCUGAUGCAUAUUUCACUUUGGCAUAUUCCCGAACACUUGGUGUGCAUGGUUCACACACUAUGAUUGUUUGGCAUCUUUGGCAACUAAAGAGACCAGUGCUGUGCCGUUGAGAUGGGUUUGAGACAAAGCUUAUGGAAAUCGCAAAGGGUAAUAGACUAAUAGUCACCUAAUCAUCAAGCACAAUUGGACCAACUGGUUUUUUUGGGUUUCACUUAAUCAUCAAUCUAUUUCAAGUGAAGCCGAUGAGGUUAGUGCUCACUUAAAUGCCUGAUUCAAUUAAUAGAUAUUAGUUUGAGUUGCCUGGAACUAAUAUAUUAACUUGAACCAGUAAUCUUUGUAUUAAUAUGUUUUCCUAUAUUUGUAGAUCUUGACAAAGAAAGGUCUUGUUAUUCUUCCUGAUAUAUAGAAAUAGAUAUAUGCAAACUCUGGAGGUGGAGGAGUCACUGUUAGUUACUUCGGUUAUGCCUAAGGAACUGCUUGAGUGAAAGAAAAAUCGAAUCAAAUUGAAAUCAAAGUGUCAAAGCUUCCGUAGAAGCAGGUGGAGUUUGAAAAAAAUGAUGGGAAAACGAAUCACUUACUGAAUUCUGGUACACCAAAAGAUUCAGAGGAAACUUUUGGUGAUAAAUGAGAUUCUUAGCAUCACAGGAGGAAAACAAGAGAUUUUUACUCAUUGAGGUUAUAAUUCUCAAAGACUUUAAAGUGUCAAUUAUAUAUCAGCUCUAUUUAGCAGAGGUAUUGGAUUAUGUGGCUGGUCGACAGCUUAAGAAAGAUGAUGAAGUGUGGCUGGUAUGUCGGGAGAGCAGUUUAGAGCACCAGAUGAUGUGGUAUUUUCAGAUUGUGUGGAUUUAACUUGUAGAGUUAUAGUUUGAUUGGUUGAUGUAAUGGGAUUUGGACACUUGUACAUUUUCAAAUGAAAUUAUUUAUAAUGAUAAUUUGAUUGAAGUGUUUCUCUUA
Rosa chinensis is the source of this 1225-nucleotide long non-coding RNA. RefSeq lists it as uncharacterized. The transcript has 4 exons. Lineage: Eukaryota; Viridiplantae; Streptophyta; Magnoliopsida; Rosales; Rosaceae. The record is from RefSeq and is a predicted model, not a curated record.